This 499-nucleotide ribosomal RNA is filed under the name uncultured Glomeromycotina. RNAcentral describes it as "partial small subunit ribosomal RNA". It matches the Rfam family "Eukaryotic small subunit ribosomal RNA", at positions 591 to 1092 of the family's 1831-position model. The record is from RNAcentral. Lineage: Eukaryota; Fungi; Glomeromycota.
CCAAUAGCGUAUAUUAAAGUUGUUGCAGUUGAAAAGCUCGUAGUUGAAUUUCGGGUUCAAUAUGUCGGUCGUGCUUCGGUACGUACUGGCGUUAUUGGUUUCUCCCUUCUGAAGGACCGCGAUGUCAUUAAUUUGGUGUCGUGGGGAAUCAGGACUGUUACUUUGAAAAAAUUAGAGUGUUUAAAGCAGGCUCGCGCUUGAAUACAUUAGCAUGGAAUAAUGAAAUAGGACGUUUGAUUCUAUUUUGUUGGUUUCUAGGAUCGACGUAAUGAUUAAUAGGGAUAGUUGGGGGCAUUAGUAUUCAAUUGUCAGAGGUGAAAUUCUUGGAUUUAUUGAAGACUAACUACUGCGAAAGCAUUUGCCAAGGAUGUUUUCAUUAAUCAAGAACGAAAGUUAGGGGAUCGAAGACGAUCAGAUACCGUCGUAGUCUUAACCAUAAACUAUGCCGACUAGGGAUCGGAUGAUGUUAAUUUUUUAAUGACUCAUUCGGCGCCUUACG